Molecule: ribosomal RNA, 407 nt
Filed under: uncultured bacterium
Lineage: Bacteria
Description: partial 16S ribosomal RNA
Rfam family: Bacterial small subunit ribosomal RNA
Source: RNAcentral
AUUGAACGCUGGCGGCAGGCCUAACACAUGCAAGUCGAGCGGAGCGGCGGACGGGUGAGUAAUGCCUAGGAAUCUGUCUGGUAGUGGGGGAUAACGUCCGGAAACGGGCGCUAAUACCGCAUACUAUCAGAUGAGCCUAGGUCGGAUUAGCUAGUUGGUGGGGUAAAGGCCUACCAAGGCGACGAUCCGCAACUGGUCUGAGAGGAUGAUCAGUCACACUGGACCUGGGACAAGGUCCAGCAUCCUACGGGAGGCAGCAGUGGGAAAUAUUGGGCAAGGGGCGAAAGCCUGGUCCAGCCAUGCCGCGUGUGUGAAGAAGGUAUUCGGAUUGUAAGGCACGUUAAGUUGGGGGGCGUUACCAACAGAAUGAGCACCGGCUAACUGCGUGCCAGCAGCCGCGGUAAUAC